AACGCUUAAACGAAUGAAUUAAUCAAUUUAAACAAGACAUAGUUUUUAUAAUUGAGUCUUUACUCAAAUACAAACUAUUUGCAUCACGUUAUUUGACCAGAAUAAUUCAAGAAGAUCAUGACAUUAUUGUUAUUGAAAGGUGUUGUGGUCAUUAUAUUAGUCGUUUUAAUAGUUAAUGUGAAAUCCUUUUAUUACAAAGGUUGUAAAAUCGACGCUGACUGUGCUGGAUGUCGUUGUGUUAACAGAUUAUCUUGCUUCUGUUAUGGAUAAGCUACCAACAUACAUAAAACAUAUAUUUUUUUUGUAGUUUUUACCUACAUAUUAAGGAACCAAGCAAGAAAUGGAACCCUUUGAGGUUUUCAGAAUAAUGGUUAAAAUGUUAUUAAAAACCAAAUAAAUGUGUGAGAAUAUUA
Spodoptera frugiperda (fall armyworm) is the source of this 413-nucleotide long non-coding RNA. RefSeq lists it as uncharacterized. The record is from RefSeq and is a predicted model, not a curated record. The transcript has 2 exons. Lineage: Eukaryota; Metazoa; Arthropoda; Insecta; Lepidoptera; Noctuidae.